AUGACUUGUGAUUCAAGCUGGUUCCCUGGCAAUCCAUCCAACCAUCCUUCAACCGCCGCCGCAGCCCGCAGGUACACCACACCUCAUGCUUUACAGCUCAGCCUCCGCCAUCCGGCUCAGCGAGCCACAGCCCACAGGAAUCCUCUCCGACCAAGAAGAGAAGAGAAGAGAGAAGGGAUGGGAGGGUUCCAGCGGCAGGUGAAGGAGCGGACCAUGGAGGUGAAGGUGGCGGUGCUCAAGGGCGUCAGGGUCGUCGGCGACUUCGGCAAGAAGACGUGGAACAAGGUCAAGGCCAUCAAGCGCUGA
This 306-nucleotide ribosomal RNA is filed under the name Triticum aestivum (bread wheat). Its description in RNAcentral is "partial small subunit ribosomal RNA". Lineage: Eukaryota; Viridiplantae; Streptophyta; Magnoliopsida; Poales; Poaceae. The record is from RNAcentral.